CCUACGGGUGGCUGCAGUGAGGAAUAUUGGUCAAUGGGCGCUAGCCUGAACCAGCCAAGUAGCGUGAAGGAUGACUGCCCUAUGGGUUGUAAACUUCUUUUAUAUGGGAAUAAAGUGCAGUAUGUAUACUGCUUUGCAUGUACCUUAUGAAUAAGAAUCGGCUAACUCCGUGCCAGCAGCCGCGGUAAUACGGAGGAUCCGAGCGUUAUCCGGAUUUAUUGGGUUUAAAUGGAGCGUAGGCGGGUUGUUAAGUCAGUUGUGAAAUUUUGCGGCUCAACCGUAAAAUUGCAGUUGAUACUGGCAUCCUUGAGUAUAGUAGAGGUAGGCGGAAUUCGUGGUGUAGCGGUGAAAUGCUUAGAGAUCACGAAGAACACCGAUUGCGAAGGCAGCUUACUAGACUGCCACUGACGCUGAUGCGCGAAAGUGUGGGUAUCAAACAGGAUUAGAUACCCCUGUAGUC
RNAcentral lists this ribosomal RNA (460 nucleotides) under uncultured bacterium. RNAcentral's name for it is "partial 16S ribosomal RNA". It matches the Rfam family "Bacterial small subunit ribosomal RNA", at positions 338 to 795 of the family's 1533-position model. The record is from RNAcentral.